Molecule: ribosomal RNA, 430 nt
Filed under: uncultured Alphaproteobacteria bacterium
Lineage: Bacteria; Pseudomonadati; Pseudomonadota; Alphaproteobacteria
Description: bacterial SSU rRNA
Rfam family: Bacterial small subunit ribosomal RNA
Source: RNAcentral
AACGCGAAGAACCUUACCAGCCCUUGACAUCCCGGUCGCGGGAACGAGAGAUCGAUCCCUUCAGUUCGGCUGGACCGGAGACAGGUGCUGCAUGGCUGUCGUCAGCUCGUGUCGUGAGAUGUUGGGUUAAGUCCCGCAACGAGCGCAACCCUCGCCCUUAGUUGCCAUCAUUCAGUUGGGCUCUCUAAGGGGACUGCCGGUGAUAAGCCGCGAGGAAGGUGGGGAUGACGUCAAGUCCUCAUGGCCCUUACGGGCUGGGCUACACACGUGCUACAAUGGCGGUGACAAUGGGACGCAAUGGGGCAACCCUGCGCAAAUCUCAAAAAGCCGUCUCAGUUCGGAUUGCACUCUGCAACUCGAGUGCAUGAAGUUGGAAUCGCUAGUAAUCGCAGAUCAGCACGCUGCGGUGAAUACGUUCCCGGGCCUUGUA